Molecule: long non-coding RNA, 4529 nt
Filed under: Gallus gallus (chicken)
Lineage: Eukaryota; Metazoa; Chordata; Aves; Galliformes; Phasianidae
Source: RNAcentral
UUUCUUUUCUUUUUUUCCUUAUUGCAUGUUACAGUUAAAAGUAAGCAUAGCUACAGGUAGUUAGGACUAACUUCAAAAAGCCUUUUUGUUGUGGAGUGGCUCGGCACAGUGAGUAUCUGUGGCUGCUUGUAAUGCAACAAACUCUUCUUUCCAGAGCCCACAACAUUUAUAGGUCUUUCACCACUUACAGUGAUUUACUGCUCCAUUUGACCCAUCUUCCAAGGCUCUGCAGCUACAAGAAAACAUUUUUUUUCUCUUGGCAAUUUUACCUUCUCUCUUUUCCCAUCUUCUCUCUGGUUUGUUCCUGGGCACCUUUUACCAAGCUCUGUAUUUCGGUGGCGCUGCCUGUCCUGCCCUGUUCUCAGGGGCUCUGCUGGCAGGUCUGUCUCAAUGUCACCUGUAGUUGGGCUGUUGGGAGAAGCACUGUCUCCUGUCUGUGGUCUGUGGCAUGUGUCUGCUUCAUACAUCAGCCUAAGCUUUGAAAUGAGCCUGCAUAUGCAUUCCAGGAACAGCACAUUGUUCUAACUGGUAACAAAAAUACAUGACUAACGUGCUUCUGAUAGAGCCGCUUCCUCUUAACCUUAAAGUUGAUUUUUUGUUAAUGACUUCUUCCUCCCAUGGAAACGUGGAAAACAGUCUGGGACUGCAGGUUGUUAUUCAGUAAGAAAAACACAUGAUGAAGUUUGACAUUUCACAGGAAAAAGAUGUCUAAAGAUUUAUAUCAAUGGGUUUUAUUUACUGUUUUUCUGUUCUUGAUUUUUUUAAACCCCGAAAACAAAACUCAUGCAUUGCUAUAAAGGAGGUGGGCAAGUCUUUUUCAGCAGUGAGCAGUCUGUUGAGUCACAGUAACGUACGUUCUUUCCCCAUGCUUUUUUUCUUUAAAAGAAAGAAAUUGUUAAUCAUCUACAUGUAAAAAAUAUGGAAAAUAAACCAUUGUUUGAUCACCGUAUGUCAGAAUAAAAUUAAAAGCAGAGAGAAAACAUAACAUGAGGGCUUGACAUGGUUCGCUUUGUUCUGUUGUUCCCGUGCCCACGUGCCCAUGUUGUGUUCAUUUUUUAAAGCUAAAAAAUCAUAAAAUUCAUAGGAGAUGGGCAGCGUUUGUUCCUUAUUCAAAGCCCUUCUUCCACCACAAGGCCUCCGCUGCCUGCUAAACUUGCAGGAUAUGGAUUCUGGUCACAGGAAUGCAAACCAGUGAUUUACUCUGCUUUUUCUUCUUUUUGCCUGGGGUUUAACCAGUACAUUAGACUAAUAUUUUCUUGCUUGCUAGUGGCAGUUUCUGUUUCUUUUUUUCUUUCUUUCUUUUUUUUUUUUUUUUUUUGGUAGUGGAAGUCAUUAGAGUUUCUCCCAAGAGAAUCACUGCCAAAGUAAACAAACAUCUUCAUGAAAGGAAAAUAAUGUCUGAGGAGCAUUCAGAAUUCCAUGUUUUACAGAAGAGUAUUUAUGGCAACCAACUAGUGAAUUAAAGUGAAAGAAAUCCCAUUACUAGUUUGCUGCUUCUGCUGUGCUAAUCGAAAGUGGCAAUUUCUGCUUGCUUCUCUGCGCUACAGUGCAGGGUCUCAGUAUAAGCUGUAAUUUAAAAUGAAGGAAAUUAUGAGAUGAAACUCUUUUUAGAAGCAGUGUUAUGUUGGGUUUGCUUUUAUUUUUCUUAAUUGUUGGUAAUUGUAUAGAGCUUCUGCAUGUAAAACUCAGGGGAACUGCUAUUGUCUCCAAAAUGUUCUGCGUGUGGUUGGCAAGAACAACAAGCACAGAAGAAAGUUCAGCUAAAAAAUUCAUAAAAGCUGCCUGGUGGAAUGCAUUGCAAUCAGCUGUACACCUUGGUGCUCUUAUCCCUCUGAACUGAUCAUUUUUAGCUGAGAUGAAACAUUCUGAGGAGCAGGAGCCUGGCAGAUUUGCGGCGUAGAUUGUUUGAAGGUUUAAACACUGUGACUAUCUCAUCUUACUGCAAGUCUGUAGAUAGAACAUAAGCUCAAGUUGCUGAAAAGUGAUAGAAUGGCUCUGUGUGCACAGCCUACAAAACUGUGAAGGGCUUAUUUUCUGUGUGCUUUCUGCGUUCCCUCCAGGAGAGCAGUAAUUCCCCAGUGGAGCAAGCACACUUUGCAUUUGUUGAGGAUGAGACUGUCUCUAGUCCUUUGUUUGGGCAGCGGCUUUCACAAAGGGGACCAGUACUCACUGGGAACUUGCCAGCACCAUCAUAUGUUUCAUGACAAAUGCUAAGUGUUCAGAAAGUUGGCACUACAAAAUAGAGAUACUGUUAAUCUCUGUUUAAUUCUCAAAAUGGCUUGUAGGAUUUUAAAGCUUGUGUUGUUGCUGGUGCACUCACCCAUCAGAUAGCAUUUUUAACAGCCCUUCUAAUAUGGCCGGUUAAUUUGGUUAUAUUACUAGGAUGUAAAACAAAAUGAUUCCUAGGAUAGAGAUUGCUAGAUUGCUAAGAUUUUACUGCCGUUUUUUUCCUAUCUGCUGCGUGCUGAAGAACAGUGUGUCCAGCCACAUGUAUUGCUGUAGUCAGACCAUGGUAUUUUCUCAUCUUCUUUCCCAUGUACAGCUCAGACACAGCUGCCGCUAUUUACCAAACACAAAGGUGUUUUUCACAGCUCAGAGAGUAUGUUUGGGUUCUGCUGUAAGGAACGCGAGAUACAUCUCUAUUAAUUGCAUGAAUGUUCAGUGUAUGUUUAUGUACCUGGAUACUGUGGUGUUCUCUUUGGAAUUUUAGGGAGCGAGCUCAUAGAUCUUUGGAUACGUCUCCAGAGACAUGAUGAUUCCAGCGUCAGAAUAAUCUGCUCCAUAACGUGACCACAUUUAGGAGACCAGCUCCUGGGAGGAGACCCAAGGAGACAUCUUGAAAUUUCUGAGCAGAGAGGCUUUUGACACAGAGUUGGUGUACGCCGGAUGGCAUCCAGUUGGUAGCCUGCAUUGCUGGUGCAGCAGGAGGAAGCAAGCCUCUGACAAGAGCUAGAUAUGUCACCCUGCAGGACUGCACGGACAGCUUAAAUGGAGUGUAUGUUUGCACCUAAGCAGACUGUUAAGUAACAGAAGUGAGGUCAACAGCUCCAAGAGUGACUAUCGCAAUAUCCAGCAGCCAUAGCACUGACAUUGAGACUGGCUGGGCCAUGAGGUCAUGCUUCUGGGAGGAUGAAGAGGAAGGCCUGGAUGCACUGAGGAAGAGAGUUGAACUCAACUUUGCUAUACAGCAGAUGAAUAUUCACCCUGGUGUAUAUAUAUAUAUAAAUCUAUUUAUUUAAAAGCAAGUAAGUUCAACUUCUGAACAGUGCAUGGUAACUGUUAGGGAAGCUCUCUUUUUUUCUCCCACCCAUCUUCAUCCUCCUUUUAAACAUUCCUAACUUUGGUCGGGACUCAGAAACAAGAGCUCUUGAGUUCUUCAUGCACUUUACAUCUCUGAUCUGAUGAUCAGUUGUAAAUCAGUUUUAGCUUUGUCAUUUUCUACCAUUCAUGCUGUUGUGAUGAUAACAAAAUCAUGGAAAACCAAUAUGCCUCUUUCACCAUGUACAUUUGGAUUACGAAAAACAUAUUCUUGUGGUUCUUUCUUAGGGUUCGUUUAUAAUAUUUUAAUUAUUAAAAAAUAAAGAAAAGAAAUCAAAGAAAAUCUCCUGCCAUGAAAUAUGUAAAAAGCUGAAUAACAUAGAAUAUUUAUGCUUAAGUAUUUUGGAAAUGCGUUAUCUUUACAAAAGAAUCAUUGAAACCUGGGAAAUGUAGUGAAAAUAUUGUACUUCAAUAAAAUAUAUUAAAAAAGAAAAUAUAUCAAGUCAUCCAGGAAACCUUAAUUUUCUGCUAUAAUGAGAACUUGAGGGAAAUGUGAAGUUAAAUUUAGUUUAUUUCUGUAGGCACUAAAUUUUUAACUAUUUCUGCAUAGUUUUACUAAGAAUUAGGAUUGUACGACCUAAUCAUUAACUCCUCAACCUGCAUAAUUUUAGAUUUUUUUGCAGGCUUAAUCCAACUCUGGGACUGGAAAUCAUAUCUUCUAACUGUACAGCUACAAGAUGAAGGGACUAGGAAAAAAGCAGGGGAAAAUCAGAACUAUUAUGUUCAUCUCUUAUACAGAGAACACAAAACCUACUGUAAUUAUGUCAUUUCCUCUCUCAUUAUGGUAUUGAGAGCCCAGAUCCAUUUUUAUGUAGUGGUACAAAACAGUUUGCUAUUUAAGUAUAGCUUACAGGAGCUACUUUGCAGAAUUGAUAUUCACAUACGCCACAAAUCAAUUGUUCCCACGAUAUUAAAAGGGAAAAUUAUCUCGAUCUUUAAAAAUUCCCAAACCUUGGUAAAUCUCCUUGAGUAAUUGUGAUAUAAUUUUGGGUCAAUGUGCUUUGACCAAAGGUCAGUCAAAAUGAAUAAUCCAGGGAACAUUUGUUUUCCUAUUGGUAAUCCUUUUUUUUGUGCAUGCUUAUGCAGUUUGUUGUAAGUGAAGAGCUCAUAAUAUUUAUACGUUAGGAAAUCAAAGGGCUUUUCUCUCUUCUUUAUCUUUUUUGUCUUUCUUUUUCUUUUUCUUUUUCUUUUUCUUUUUCUUUUUCUUUUUC